UUGAAGCAUGAUCGUAAGGACAUGUGGAGCGCUUAGAAGUGAGAAUGCCGGUGUGAGUAGCGAAAGACGGGUGAGAAUCCCGUCCACCGAUUGACUAAGGUUUCCAGAGGAAGGCUCGUCCGCUCUGGGUUAGUCGGGUCCUAAGCUGAGGCCGACAGGCGUAGGCGAUGGAUAACAGGUUGAUAUUCCUGUACCACCUAUAAUCGUUUUAAUCGAUGGGGGGACGCAGUAGGAUAGGCGAAGCGUGCGAUUGGAUUGCACGUCUAAGCAGUAAGGCUGAGUAUUAGGCAAAUCCGGUACUCGUUAAGGCUGAGCUGUGAUGGGGAGAAGACAUUGUGUCUUCGAGUCGUUGAUUUCACACUGCCGAGAAAAGCCUCUAGAUAGAAAAUAGGUGCCCGUACCGCAAACCGACACAGGUAGUCAAGAUGAGAAUUCUAAGGUGAGCGAGCGAACUCUCGUUAAGGAACUCGGCAAAAUGACCCCGUAACUUCGGGAGAAGGGGUGCUCUUUAGGGUUAACGCCCAGAAGAGCCGCAGUGAAUAGGCCCAAGCGACUGUUUAUCAAAAACACAGGUCUCUGCUAAACCGUAAGGUGAUGUAUAGGGGCUGACGCCUGCCCGGUGCUGGAAGGUUAAGAGGAGUGGUUAGCUUCUGCGAAGCUACGAAUCGAAGCCCCAGUAAACGGCGGCCGUAACUAUAACGGUCCUAAGGUAGCGAAAUUCCUUGUCGGGUAAGUUCCGACCCGCACGAAAGGCGUAACGAUUUGGGCACUGUCUCAACGAGAGACUCGGUGAAAUCAUAGUACCUGUGAAGAUGCAGGUUACCCGCGACAGGACGGAAAGACCCCGUGGAGCUUUACUGUAGCCUGAUAUUGAAAUUCGGCACAGCUUGUACAGGAUAGGUAGGAGCCUUUGAAACGUGAGCGCUAGCUUACGUGGAGGCGCUGGUGGGAUACUACCCUAGCUGUGUUGGCUUUCUAACCCGCACCACUUAUCGUGGUGGGAGACAGUGUCAGGCGGGCAGUUUGACUGGGGCGGUCGCCUCCUAAAAGG
Molecule: ribosomal RNA, 1051 nt
Filed under: Staphylococcus aureus
Lineage: Bacteria; Bacillati; Bacillota; Bacilli; Caryophanales; Staphylococcaceae
Description: partial 23S ribosomal RNA
Rfam family: Bacterial large subunit ribosomal RNA
Source: RNAcentral